GGACGAACGCUGGCGGCGUGCCUAAUACAUGCAAGUCGAGCGGACGAAUCGAAAGCUUGCUUUUGAUUCGUUCGCGGCGGACGGGUGAGUAACACGUGGGCAACCUGCCCUGUAGACGGGGAUAACACCGAGAAAUCGGUGCUAAUACCGGAUAACACGAAAUGUCGCAUGACGUUUCGUUGAAAGACGGCGCAAGCUGUCGCUACAGGAUGGGCCCGCGGCGCAUUAGCUAGUUGGUGAGGUAACGGCUCACCAAGGCGACGAUGCGUAGCCGACCUGAGGGGGUGAUCGGCCACACUGGGACUGAGACACGGCCCAGACUCCUACGGGAGGCAGCAGUAGGGAAUCUUCCGCAAUGGACGAAAGUCUGACGGAGCAACGCCGCGUGAGCGAAGAAGGCCUUCGGGUCGUAAAGCUCUGUUGUUAGGGAAGAACAAGUAACGCAGUAACUGGCGUUACCGUGACGGUACCUAACGAGAAAGCCACGGCUAACUACGUG
Molecule: ribosomal RNA, 499 nt
Filed under: uncultured bacterium
Lineage: Bacteria
Description: partial 16S ribosomal RNA
Rfam family: Bacterial small subunit ribosomal RNA
Source: RNAcentral